This 441-nucleotide long non-coding RNA is filed under the name Malus domestica (apple). RNAcentral's name for it is "long non-coding RNA (MDOM_LNC003125)". Lineage: Eukaryota; Viridiplantae; Streptophyta; Magnoliopsida; Rosales; Rosaceae. The record is from RNAcentral.
AGAUGCUUCACAACAUUUUAGGAGGUGCCUGCAAUUAGCAAAUGAUAUCUGUUUGGACCGAAAGAUUGCAAAAGAAGCUUCUGAUGGCUUACAAAAAGCACAGGUAGUGUAAUUAAUUAAAAACCCGAUCUUACUGCUUUCCAUGAGAUUCACCUGAUGGCUUACAAAAAGCACAGGUAGUGUAAUUAAUUAAAAACCCGAUCUUACUGCUUUCCAUGGGAUUCACCAUAGUCUACAUUUAACAUUCACUUAUAAAUGUACAUGAAAUUGGUUAAUACAAUACUCAUCUGAACCCUGAUAAUGCUGAAACUUUUUCUCAUUUUCUUAAAAACAGUUUAAGUUGCACACCACAUAGUUUGUAGGGUGAUUGAGCCAAGAAGAAAUAAGGAAUUUUCUGAUUGUAAAACCCCUAUUUUGGCUUGUAAUGGGAAAAGACAGGAG